RNAcentral lists this non-coding RNA (30 nucleotides) under Rattus norvegicus (Norway rat). Lineage: Eukaryota; Metazoa; Chordata; Mammalia; Rodentia; Muridae. The record is from RNAcentral.
UGACACCGAGUUCUAUCCAAUCUUUGUCCC